Molecule: long non-coding RNA, 206 nt
Filed under: Bos taurus (domestic cattle)
Lineage: Eukaryota; Metazoa; Chordata; Mammalia; Artiodactyla; Bovidae
Description: long non-coding RNA NONBTAT012656
Source: RNAcentral
GACUCGUCAUUUACCCCAGUUGUCUGCAUCUGAGUUGGCACAUGGAGCCCAGGGUGGAGCAUCUCACAGUAUAUGCCUCUUGAUAAAAGCCAAAUUGGGUGAGCUCAAGAAGAGUUCAAGCUAGUGAGACUUUCUCACUGCAGUUCCUGAAGCAUGAAAGCAGCAAGUUUUAGUAGAAAUGUUACCCGUGACCUUUGGGUAGGAUC